Molecule: unclassified non-coding RNA, 279 nt
Filed under: Hevea brasiliensis (rubber tree)
Lineage: Eukaryota; Viridiplantae; Streptophyta; Magnoliopsida; Malpighiales; Euphorbiaceae
Source: RNAcentral
GAACAGGUUAUGGCAAAUGCUUGGAAUAUUCGUCAUGAAGGUGCUAACUUAUUUCAAGUAUUUUCUAAAUUGAAGAAGGGCAGGUUUGAUCUUUCCCAAUGGCACAAGAAUCAUCAACACAAUGCUCAAUCUCAUAUUGUGCACUUGAAAGAUCAAAUUGCUUGAAUUAAAAAUAGUUCAUAUGGCAACAUUGUAAUUGACAUUCGCCAAUUGGAACAAUAAUUAGCCAUUGAAAUUAAAAAUAAGGAAGCCUAUUGGCUAAAAAAUGCUAGGCAAAAU